This 566-nucleotide ribosomal RNA is filed under the name Streptomyces levis. RNAcentral describes it as "bacterial SSU rRNA". It matches the Rfam family "Bacterial small subunit ribosomal RNA", at positions 56 to 642 of the family's 1533-position model. The record is from RNAcentral. Lineage: Bacteria; Bacillati; Actinomycetota; Actinomycetes; Kitasatosporales; Streptomycetaceae.
UGCAGUCGACGAUGAACACUUCGGUGGGGAUUAGUGGCGAACGGGUGAGUAACACGUGGGCAAUCUGCCCUGCACUCUGGGACAAGCCCUGGAAACGGGGUCUAAUACCGGAUAUGACCAUCUUGGGCAUCCUUGAUGGUGUAAAGCUCCUGCGGUGCAGGAUGAGCCCCCGGCCUAUCAGCUUGUUGGUGAGGUAACGGCUCACCAAGGCGACGACGGGUAGCCGGCCUGAGAGGGCGACCGGCCACACUGGGACUGAGACACGGCCCACACUCCUACGGGAGGCAGCAGUGGGGAAUAUUGCACAAUGGGCGCAAGCCUGAUGCAGCGACGCCGCGUGAGGGAUGACGGCCUUCGGGUUGUAAACCUCUUUCAGCAGGGAAGAAGCGAAAGUGACGGUACCUGCAGAAGAAGCGCCGGCUAACUACGUGCCAGCAGCCGCGGUAAUACGUAGGGCGCGAGCGUUGUCCGGAAUUAUUGGGCGUAAAGAGCUCGUAGGCGGCUUGUCGCGUCGGUUGUGAAAGCCCGGGGCUUAACCCCGGGUCUGCAGUCGAUACGGGCAGGCU